This 244-nucleotide long non-coding RNA is filed under the name Nicotiana benthamiana. RNAcentral describes it as "long non-coding RNA (NBEN_LNC017584)". Lineage: Eukaryota; Viridiplantae; Streptophyta; Magnoliopsida; Solanales; Solanaceae. The record is from RNAcentral.
UGAGCAUUUACAUUCCAGGAAGUUUUAACUAGUUGUUGGAAAUCCUUAUGCUGUAUCCAUGCAUUAAAAAAUCUAAAGGGUGUUUUCCUGAUUGAAAUAUCAUCUGUCAAGGUUAGAACCAUGGGGUUAUGAUCAGAGAUUAAUGGGGCACCAUAUACAGUCUGCACAUGGCUCCAUUUUAGCAUCCACUCACAAUUACCAAAAGUUCUAUCCAGCCGACUGCAUACUCUAUCAUUUCCACCUU